AACGCGAAGAACCUUACCUGGGUUUGACAUGGCCGCAAAACCGGCAGAGAUGUCGGGUCCUUCGGGGGCGGUCACAGGUGGUGCAUGGCUGUCGUCAGCUCGUGUCGUGAGAUGUUGGGUUAAGUCCCGCAACGAGCGCAACCCUCGUUCGAUGUUGCCAGCGCGUUAUGGCGGGGACUCAUCGAAGACUGCCGGGGUCAACUCGGAGGAAGGUGGGGAUGACGUCAAGUCAUCAUGCCCCUUAUGUCCAGGGCUUCACGCAUGCUACAAUGGCCGGUACAAUGGGCUGCGAUACCGUGAGGUGGAGCGAAUCCCAAAAAGCCGGUCUCAGUUCGGAUCGGGGUCUGCAACUCGACCCCAUGAAGUCGGAGUCGCUAGUAAUCGCAGAUCAGCAACGCUGCGGUGAAUACGUUCCCGGGCCUUGUACACACCG
RNAcentral lists this ribosomal RNA (433 nucleotides) under Actinomycetales bacterium hei26-2. RNAcentral's name for it is "bacterial SSU rRNA". It matches the Rfam family "Bacterial small subunit ribosomal RNA", at positions 958 to 1392 of the family's 1533-position model. The record is from RNAcentral. Lineage: Bacteria; Bacillati; Actinomycetota; Actinomycetes; Actinomycetales.